GGGGUUGUGACUCAGCGGUAGAGCGCUCACCUAAUAUGUAUGAGGCUCUGGGUUUGAUCCUCAGCACCACG
This 71-nucleotide transfer RNA is filed under the name Marmota monax (woodchuck). Its description in RNAcentral is "tRNA.Ile". Lineage: Eukaryota; Metazoa; Chordata; Mammalia; Rodentia; Sciuridae. The record is from RNAcentral.